GCGGCGGCGUCGGGGCGCGGAGGCGGGGGCGGGGAGAUGGCGGCGGCCGCCGAGCUGCAGGGGAAGUACCAGAAGCUGGCCCAGGAGUACUCCAAGCUUCGAGCUCAGAACCAAGUACUGAAAAAAGGGGUUGUAGAUGAACAAGCCAACUCUGCUUCUCUGAAGGAGCAAGUGAAGAUGAAGGAUCAGUCACUGAGGAAACUGCAACAAGAAAUGGACAGCUUGACCUUUCGAAAUCAGCAACUGGCCAAGCGGGUGGAGUUACUUCAAGAUGAACUUGCAUUAAGUGAAACUAGGGGCAAGAAGAACAAGAAAAGUGCAGAAUCCUCAUCUCAGUUGAGUCAAGAGCAGAAAAGUGUCUUCAAUGAAGAUCUUCAGAAGAAGAUAGAAGAGAAUGAACGACUACAUAUACUUUUCUUUGAAGCAGACGAGCAGCACAAACGUUUAGAAGCAGAGCUGAGAACUAGACUUGAAGUUUUGGAAACCGAUGCUGCCCAACAUCAAGCUGUGGUGGACAGUUUGACAAGGAAAUACACGGAUACCAUAGAAAAACUGCAGACUGAUAAAGCCAAAUUGGAAAUCAAGUCUCAGACACUAGAAAGAGAAGCUAAGGACUGUAGGCUUCGAACCGAAGAAUGCCAGCAACAGUUAAAGAAUCUUCAAUCAGCUUUGGGCAGUAGACUGGAAGAAUCUCUAUGCAUAAUCAAUGAAAAAGUACCUUUUAAUGACACAAGAUCUAAUCGAUACAACGCUCUGAAUGUACCACUGCACAACAGAAGAUACCAGCUGAAGUUGAGAGACCUUGCUGGUCAGGCGCUGGCUUUCGUUCAAGAACUUGUAACAGCUCUUUUGAACUUCCAUACGUACACCGAGCAGAAGGUGCAGAUCUUCCCCAUUGAUUCUGCAACAGAUACUAUAUCCCCGCUAAAUCAGAAGUUCUCACAGUAUCUUCAUGAAAAUGCUUCGUACGUUCGCCCUCUGGAGGAAGGAAUGCUUCACUUGUUUGAGAGUAUUACGGAAGAUACUGUGACAGUCCUGGUAAGAUUUCUUAUUUUCAGUAUUGAAAAAGACUUUUACAGAGCAAAAAUACUUACGUGUUGUUUUUCCUUCCAGGAAACAGCUGUGAAAUUGAAGGCCUUCUCCGAAAAUUUAGCUUCCUACUUAUGCUUUUUAAGAAAGAUUCUUCCUUAUCAGUUAAAAAGUUUGGAAGAAGAGUGUGAGUCUUCUCUUUGCACAGCUGCUUUAAGAGCUAGAAAUAUGGAGCUACACAGAGACAUGAAAAGGUUGACUGCAGUCUUUGAGAAGCUACACACCUACAUUAGUCUUCUUGCAUUACCAAGUACAAAGCCAGAAGGACUUCUUAGGACAAAUUACAACUUUGUGUUUACAAACAUUGCUACAAGUCUUCAUGGAUUUCAUGAUAUUUUAAAAGACCUUUCCAAGCACUACAGUCAGAAAGCUACUUUAGAACAAGACGUUCCAACUGCCACACAGAAACUCAUAACUACAAAUGACUGUAUUUUGUCCUCUGUUGUGGCUUUAACGAAUGGAGUGGGCAAGAUUGCCUCGUUCUUUAGCAACAAUUUGGAUCACUUCACUACUUCGUUGAGCUAUGGCCCUAAAGCAGGGACAGAGUUCAUCAGCCCUCUUUCAGCUGAGUGUAUGCUGCAAUACAAGAAAAAGGCGGUUGCUUACAUGAAGUCUUUGAAGAAGCCUUGUGCAGAUUCGGUGCCUUAUGAAGAGGCUUUGGCUAAUCGCAGAGUUCUUCUGAGUUCCACAGAAAGUAGAGAAGGACUUGCACAACAGCUGGGUGUUCAGACUGUGCUUGAGUGGCCAUCAUUGAACUUUCACAGAAGGAAGACUUCAGUGGCUUUUCUUGUAGUGGACUACAUUCACAGUGUGCCAGUCCAGCAGAGUUUGGAGAAAAUUGCGAAACUUGAACAAGAAAAAGAGCACUGGAUGUUGGAGGCCCAGCUGGCUAAGAUAAAACUAGAAAAAGAAAACCAAAAACUGAAGAACUCUCUUAGUGGACAUUUAACUGAAACUAUACAAGAGCGUUCCGUUUUGCCAAAUGUAGCUGAACAAAAGAAGGAAACCACAGAAAAGAGUCCAAGGGAACCUAUUAAAAGUACUAGUCUGAUUGGAAUGUUGACUAUAACUACUGAUAAUGAAAAGGCUCCAGAUGUUGAGUCUCGUGAAGACCUGAUAAAAAACCACUAUAUGGCAAGGAUAGCAGAACUUACAUCUCAUCUGCAGCUUGCUGACAGCAAAUCAGUACACUUCCACGCCGAGUGUCGAGCACUUGCCAAAAGACUGUCUCUGGCAGAGAAGUCCAAGGAAUCGCUUACGGAAGAGCUGAAACUUGCUAGUCAAAACAUCAGUAGGUUACAGGAUGAAUUGAUGACAACAAAGAGAAGUUAUGAGGAUCAGUUAAGUAUGAUGAGUGACCAUCUCUGCAGCAUGAAUGAAACAUUAACUAAACAAAGGGAAGAAAUUGAUACGCUAAAAAUGACCAGUAAGGGAAAUUCUAAAAAGAACAAAAAUCGAUAGCUUGCAGCUCAUCAACUGUCUUCAGAAGCUGCUGCUGCGCAGGAUGCAGUUGGUGGAUGUUCACUGUCUAAUUCCUGUUUGUUACAGGAAGCAGAGGUGGUAUUGGGUCUAGUAAAAACUGAUUUGGUGCUGUAAAUGGCUUUAAAAUAUUUAGAACUUGUGACAGGUAAAACAGAACUUAAUGUUGGCUCUAAACCAGGAAAUACACACUGUGGAUAAUUUAUAUAGUAAUUACCUUCAGUUUUUACUGUGCACUUUUUAAAACUAGGUUUUAAUUUCAUGUAAUAACUUCAUAUUUUGUAUAUUUUCAAAUAUUCUGCAUUAACAAGUUUGGAUCAGUGCAGUAGUUGUCUAUUUUUGAGUUAUAUGUUAAAUUGUCAAUGUGUACAUUCCUUUACCUGCUAAUAACAGUUUAAAAAUUAAUUUUGAGACUUUGGGCCAUGCAAGAUGUGCAGUUACUGUGAAUGUCUUAUUCCUGUUCUCAGCCCUUUUGAAUUAAUUGGAAUUGUAGCUUUAAAUGACUUCUAUAAAUUCAUACAAGUAAACGGGAUCACUUUUCUUUUAGGUUGCAAUUGUGGAAACUUUUGCUGCUUGUAUUUGGCACUUUGGAUUUUGAAGUAAAGAGCACAAAUAGCUGAAUUGGGAUACUUCUAUGAAAUUGCUUUAAGCCCUUACUCAAGCAUUUUGUUUACACAUGUGUAUAUAUAUUGGUUGAAAUAGCUGUUUAAAGCUAGAGGAAAUUGUGAUCGUCAUUUGCCCCAAAAGAGUAAAGCGAUAUAUGUGUGUAGAUUAGCUCAGCUUACUGUGCUCUCUUACAGUAAAGAAGAAUAUGAAAUACAUAGAAGAAUUAAACACUGAAUUUGCAAAAGGUCUUCAUGGAAUUAAAUUGUGAUGGAUUUACUAGGGGGAUGCACGUGGCUUUUCCUGUGUUUUGGGAAGUUUGUGAACUUUAGGCCUUUCCUAAGAUUUUGGGUUUUUUUAAGUGAAGUCUAACAAUACGAGAGUUCACAGCAUUGAUUUUUUUUUGUUGUUGUUUUUUUAAAUCAGAUGCUGUGCUGCUCCACACUUUACACUGAUCUUCUGUUCCACAAUUUACAUUAUGGCACUUAUUUGUCAUAUAAGGGUUUACUUUGAUAACAGCUGUGAUAUGUAUUGUUAAUAUGUAAUAAUAAAAUCAGCUACG
Molecule: RNA transcript, 3733 nt
Organism: Calidris pugnax (ruff)
Lineage: Eukaryota; Metazoa; Chordata; Aves; Charadriiformes; Scolopacidae
Gene: PPP1R21
Gene name: protein phosphatase 1 regulatory subunit 21
Exons: 23
Source: RefSeq, a predicted model, not a curated record